RNAcentral lists this ribosomal RNA (253 nucleotides) under uncultured bacterium. Its description in RNAcentral is "partial 16S ribosomal RNA". It matches the Rfam family "Bacterial small subunit ribosomal RNA", at positions 524 to 776 of the family's 1533-position model. The record is from RNAcentral.
UACGUAGGGUGCGAGCGUUGUCCGGAAUCAUUGGGCGUAAAGAGCUCGUAGGCGGCCUGUCGCGUCGGAUGUGAAAACCCGGGGCUCAACCUCGGGCCUGCAUUCGAUACGGGCAGGCUGGAGUUCGGCAGGGGAGACUGGAAUUCCUGGUGUAGCGGUGAAAUGCGCAGAUAUCAGGAGGAACACCGGUGGCGAAGGCGGGUCGCUGGGCCGAUACUGACGCUGAGGAGCGAAAGCGUGGGGAGCGAACAGG